Molecule: ribosomal RNA, 425 nt
Filed under: uncultured bacterium
Lineage: Bacteria
Description: bacterial SSU rRNA
Rfam family: Bacterial small subunit ribosomal RNA
Source: RNAcentral
CGCUGGCGGCAGGCCUAACACAUGCAAGUCGAACGCACCGCAAGGUGAGUGGCGCACGGGUGAGUAACACGUGGGAAUGUACCCUUUGGUUCGGAAUAACGUUUGGAAACGAACGCUAAUACCGGAUGAGCCCUGCGGGGGAAAGAUUUAUCGCCAAAGGAGCAGCCCGCGUCUGAUUAGCUAGUUGGUGGGGUAAAGGCCUACCAAGGCGACGAUCAGUAGCUGGUCUGAGAGGAUGAUCAGCCACACUGGGACUGAGACACGGCCCAGACUCCUACGGGAGGCAGCAGUGGGGAAUAUUGGACAAUGGGCGCAAGCCUGAUCCAGCCAUGCCGCGUGAGUGAUGAAGGCCUUCGGGUUGUAAAGCUCUUUCGCACGCGACGAUGAUGACGGUAGCGUGAGAAGAAGCCCCGGCUAACUUCGUG